Molecule: ribosomal RNA, 252 nt
Filed under: uncultured bacterium
Lineage: Bacteria
Description: partial 16S ribosomal RNA
Rfam family: Bacterial small subunit ribosomal RNA
Source: RNAcentral
ACGUAGGGUGCAAGCGUUGUCCGGAAUUAUUGGGCGUAAAGAGCUCGUAGGCGGUUUGUCACGUCUGCUGUGAAAUUUCGAGGCUCAACCUCGAACUUGCAGUGGGUACGGGCAGGCUAGAGUGCGGUAGGGGAGAUGGGAAUUCCUGGUGUAGCGGUGGAAUGCGCAGAUAUCAGGAGGAACACCAAUGGCGAAGGCACAUCUCUGGGCCGUAACUGACGCUGAGGAGCGAAAGCGUGGGGAGCAAACAGG